RNAcentral lists this ribosomal RNA (455 nucleotides) under uncultured Alphaproteobacteria bacterium. RNAcentral describes it as "partial 16S ribosomal RNA". It matches the Rfam family "Bacterial small subunit ribosomal RNA", at positions 390 to 863 of the family's 1533-position model. Lineage: Bacteria; Pseudomonadati; Pseudomonadota; Alphaproteobacteria. The record is from RNAcentral.
AGCAUGCGCGUGUGUGAUGAAGGCNNNGGAUCGUAAAGCACUUUCGCCAGGGAGUGAUAAGUGACAGUACCGUGGUAAAGAAACCCCGGCUAACUCCGUGCCAGCAGCCGCGKUAAUACGGAGGGGGWUAGCGUUGUUCGGAAUUACUGGKCGUAAAGCGUACGUAGGCGGAUCAGAAAGUUUGRGRGUGAAAUCCCGGGGCUCAACCCCGGAACUGCCUCCAAAACUCCUGGUCUUGAGUUCGAGAGAGGWGAGUGGAAUUCCAAGUGUAGAGGUGAAAUUCGUAGAUAUUUGGAGGAACACCAGUGGCGAAGGCGGCUCACUGGCUCGAUACUGACGCUGAGGUACGAAAGUGUGGGGAGCAAACAGGAUUAGAUACCCUGRUAGUCCACACCGUAAACGAUGAAUGCCAGUCGUCGGGCAGUAUACUGUUCGGUGACACACUAACGGAUUAA